GGUCAGAUGGGAUUAACGGGAUCCGUGGAAUGAAGACAUCCUCACCCUUAGAUUUUCCGGUGAUAAUUGCUGUUUCUAGGACAUGGGGUUGCAUUGCUUUCACCACCAGACUGGUGCCAUUGCACAGGCGAGGUGGAUCCAAGUUCCUGAGCAGCAUGAUAGGGGCCCCCCUUUUUAAGUGUUAAAUAGUGAGGUGGCA
Molecule: long non-coding RNA, 199 nt
Organism: Octopus sinensis (East Asian common octopus)
Lineage: Eukaryota; Metazoa; Mollusca; Cephalopoda; Octopoda; Octopodidae
Exons: 3
Source: RefSeq, a predicted model, not a curated record